UACGAAGGGGGCUAGCGUUGUUCGGAAUUACUGGGCGUAAAGCGCACGUAGGCGGACAUUUAAGUCAGGGGUGAAAUCCCAGAGCUCAACUCUGGAACUGCCUUUGAUACUGGGUGUCUGGAGUAUGGAAGAGGUGAGUGGAAUUCCGAGUGUAGAGGUGAAAUUCGUAGAUAUUCGGAGGAACACCAGUGGCGAAGGCGGCUCACUGGUCCAUUACUGACGCUGAGGCGCGAAAGCGUGGGGAGCAAACAGG
RNAcentral lists this ribosomal RNA (253 nucleotides) under uncultured bacterium. RNAcentral describes it as "partial 16S ribosomal RNA". It matches the Rfam family "Bacterial small subunit ribosomal RNA", at positions 524 to 776 of the family's 1533-position model. The record is from RNAcentral.